GAAAUUCAAGUCCAAGACUCUGCAAAGACUUAAUCUCACUCGUCUCGUCGCGUGAUCUUUUUAUCUCGUCUCUCUUCGUCGUUUUCACUUCCUCCUCCGUCGCUCAUCUCCCAAAUGUCCAUCCCUCUCCUUUUUCCCCUCGUUUACUGCUCACCCCCUUCCCAAUGGGGGCCUAUCCAAGAUUUGUUAUCUUUUCUUUUUCUAAUCAUUUCUCGAUUUUUUCCUUUGUAUACUUUCUAAUUUGUUUUUUUGAACAUUCGGAAUCAUAGCUUAGUUGCUUGUCAAAUUCUUGGGCUUUUUGUUCCGUGGAAAAUGGAACUUUUCAUGUAUUCGGUGUGUUUUUCUUUUUCUUUUUUUUUUUUAAGAUCACAGGAGGGGACGUGGACGGUCCGGUAAGCGUUGCAAAUUUUGCUGUUCUGGAUCGGUCUGAAUUAGAGAAACGGGAUGAGGUCUAAUCUUUUGGUACAAAGAUGGAUUCUUUUGCCCUUCAUUGUCUUUUGGUAAAAUCAAAGGCGAACUUUUUCUUGCGUUAGAUUUCAGUUCAUGCUAUAAGUAACGGAAGGGGAAAGGCAAAACCUGGACUAAGAGAUAUUGGGUUUUGUAGACUAAAGAGAAGUUUAGGGAACGUGUGGGAAGGGGAGCACUUUUUCAUAGACAAAGGGAAGAAAGAACAGUCAUUUUACAUUGCCGUUAGAAUCUAGCCGAUCUGCUCUUGGGUUUUCCCUUUUCCCCACCUCCUUUCAACUGAUUGGCAGCACUCUUCUGGUUUAACAGAACCUCAUUUGGACUGUGAUAUCUCAUAGCGACACUAGUACUGAUUUAAUGAAUGUUGGAUCACAGAAAAAACCCGGUUAGAAGAAUCGUCUUCUUUAAAACCCGAACUCAUCUCAUCCUAUGUACUUAAUGGUGCUUGUUCAGAGCCGGAUAGCUGAUGAUUAUACUGAUUAUGAAAAUCUUUUCCAAGAUUACUAGAAGCUAAUGCCUCGUAUGGUUCUAAUACCUUACUCUGUUAUCUUAGUCAUUCGGUUGUGAGAACUCUUUUUUUUAUGAUCCGUAUUUCUCUUGGUCACAUACAUUAUGAUGGUUGAUGAAUUUGAGCAGUAGUAACAGAAUUUCUUGUCUUCUUAUUUGCUGUUCGUGCAAUCAAGAUAGAUAUUACUCUCCAUUUGAUGUGCUGCUCAUUAACUGUGACAUGUUGGCGUGCCAUUCACACUGGAUUCCUGCUUUGAUUUCCUUGCUUUAGAGCAUCAUCUGUGUCUAUCAUUAUAACUUUGCUCUUUCGUUAUAUCUUUUCUAGUCGUUUUAAAUGGUAUAUUGAGCAGCAAAUUCAUGUUAUGUGGAUUGCUUUUAUUGAAUCAGUUUACAUUUGUGACCAUGCAACAAGUAUGGCACCUUUGUUGUGAUCACACACAAAAGUAAGAGGGGAAGCACUUGCUGGUGAUCACACACAAAAUAUCGAUCCAAAGAUGUGAAUGCAAAUUUGUAUUAUGAUUUCUAAGAACUUCUAAUACUGAAUUUUUUUUUGCCCCGAUAUCUAUCAUUUUUCAGAAAGAAAACAUGAAUCACCUUGUUGAUGCUGUUCUCAUGCAUGGAUUUCUAAGGCCAUGGGGUUUUAUCAUAUUCUACAUGUUCUUUAGCUGCAUGGUAUAUUUGUCAAUGCCUGCAUGGGAGUGUGAUUUUACAUGCUGUAUGAAAUUGUGGGGACUUCUGUGAGCAUCCAUCAAUUUUUCUGAAAUUUUUGACUUUUGUUAGAUUCCACAUCGAGUCUGGCAAUAUUUUUAAACUAUUUUGCACUUCUUUAAUUUUCAAAUAUGUAUGUAUGCAGAUAUUUCUCUUGUAAAAUGCUGAAUUAUGAAAUAUCACUCUCUGAAUCAAACUCUAUUUCUGAUUUUUUGACUAUGCUUACAGGUUUUACAUCUCUUCCUUAAUUAGGGGGGUGAUUAUCAACUUCUUAGCUCCCUUGCUAUCUUAUGAAAUACAUGUAGGACUUCUGUGGCCUAAAGCUAUAAGUCUUAGGUUAAUUGCGAUAAAUUGCUUUCUACUUUUCAGAUCCUUCAUUAGUUUUAGACCAUGGACAGUUCAUCAUAUAAACCAUAUUCAACAAAUUUUAUGUGAAAAUUUCUCAGUCUGUUCUUCACUGGAGGUUGUCAUCAGUAGAAUACUGUGCUAUAUUAUGCAGAUUAGAGCGUCGAUUGCAAGCAAGGGUUUCACGUUUUAUAAUUCUGUGCCCAUCCUGUUGCUGUGCUGCAGUUUAUGAUGUUUUAGCUGCCAGAUUAGUAGCAUGGAUCUCAUGUUGUCAUUUGUUCCAUCACAGAAACAUCACUUCUGCAGAAGUGCGUGUACUUUAUGAUGUCUUAUAUUUGAAUGCGGCAAUGAUUUUUAGAAUUUCUUGGGGCCAACUACAUUAGACUUCAUGAUGUUUUCAAAGUUACUACAUCAUUUUUGGAGGAAUAAAUAUUUUCAUAAAAAAAUUAUGCAUGUGCCAUAGUAGAAGACUUUUAUUAUCUGUUUUGAUUGCUUUUAAAUGUAUCUGGUGGUUCAGCAUGCUGGCAGCAGUUAUGAAUGCAAUUCUUCUGCAAGCAGUGAUCAAAAGCAUUGGCGUCCCUACAUGCUUCCAAACUGCAUUUCUUGUGUCAGAAGUUGCAUAGCCAUAUUUAAGAAGAAUGGCCAUCAGGCAUUUGGAGAAUGGAAGAGUUGUUAUAUUUGCUGCUGGAAAUGGCAACCACUUCUUCAUAACAGAUACUGCCAUUGCUCUCUGUUGUGCAUAGAGUCAUUUCUCUGUUGUGUGGCUUAUAGCUUCUCCUAGUAAGAAUAGCAUGAUGACAAGUUGCACUUUUCCGAAGUACAUCCAGAUUCAUGACAAUUUGUUAAUUCAAUCGAUUUCUAAUAUUGCAGUGUUUUCUGGCCCACAUGAUAUCUCAACAUCUUUUAGAAAGUAUGGCCCUAAACCCAGCGAAAUGGAGGCAAAGGAUUUAUAUAACCAACCCCAACUAGUAUGGGACUAAGGCUUAGUUGAAUUGAGUUGUACGUUUAAUGUUAGAUUUCUUUGAGUCAAAUCAGUUGACAAAAUAAGGAUGAAAGUAUUUUAGGGAAUUAGUUCGUGUAAGUAUUUAAUUAAACUAUAGGAGGUAAGAACUUGUGAUUUUGGUAAUGUUCCAUCAAAGAAAUGUACAAAUGAUUCAGUAAUAUGCAUCAACAGCUGCAUGAUGGACAUCACUGACCACACAUAAACAUAUGUAAUGACCAAAUUUAUUAUUCACCUGCUUGCUUUACAGAAUGCUUGCUUAGCAUGCAAAUGAUUCAGUAAUGUGCCAGGAGCUGCAUGAUGGACAUCACUGGCCACACAUAAAUAUAUGUAAUGACCAAAUUUAUUAUUCACCUGCUUGCUUUACAGAAUGCAUGCUUAGCAUGCAAUCUUUUAUGGCAAUUUCUUCGGACUCAGUGUUAUACACUACAUACAGUUAUUUCAGAGGUUGUGCAUAAAGCAACAAAUAUUGAUGGUGUAUAUGAUGACAACUCCAAGCUUAACCCGAAUUUUCUAAGUACUUAUUUGUGUAACUUCUAUAAAGUGUACAGACUAUGCUUACCAAGUUUAUUCAUGCAGUUGUUGUGUUUAACUGGAACAAACCUGGAAAUAUUGCAAAAGCUAUCCUUGGUGAGAAGGUUGGCAGUUUGGCGUAAAUCCAAAUCAGGUGCAACAUUAUGAAGGGAGCCUGACAAAGCAUGAGUUGAAAACAGUGAGCGUGCAUGUGGCGCAUGGGAGUAAGUGAAUAUCCAACAUGUCAGCAUUUAGCAGUGACACCAAGUUCUUAUUUCUUUUCACAAUGCUCUCUGACUGCCUUAUUCUUGGAAGAUGUUGAUGAUGUAUCUUAUUUGAUGCAGUGAAUAAACAACCUGUCAGCAUUUAGCAGUGA
This is a non-coding RNA of Elaeis guineensis (African oil palm), 3914 nucleotides long. NCBI's taxonomy places the organism in Eukaryota, Viridiplantae, Streptophyta, Magnoliopsida, Arecales, Arecaceae. The record is from RefSeq and is a predicted model, not a curated record.